UACGUAGGGUGCAAGCGUUAAUCGGAAUUACUGGGCGUAAAGCGUGCGCAGGCGGUUUUGUAAGACUGUCGUGAAAUCCCCGGGCUUAACCUGGGAAUGGCGAUGGUGACUGCAAGGCUAGAGUUUGGCAGAGGGGGGUAGAAUUCCACGUGUAGCAGUGAAAUGCGUAGAUAUGUGGAGGAACACCGAUGGCGAAGGCAGCCCCCUGGGCUAACACUGACGCUCAGGCACGAAAGCGUGGGGAGCAAACAGG
This 253-nucleotide ribosomal RNA is filed under the name uncultured bacterium. RNAcentral's name for it is "partial 16S ribosomal RNA". It matches the Rfam family "Bacterial small subunit ribosomal RNA", at positions 524 to 776 of the family's 1533-position model. The record is from RNAcentral.